GGGGCAGCCUUGGUUCCAAACGGAGUGGCUGGGCCGGUGAAGUUUCGCUGUGGCUUUGGAGACCCUUGCGCUUUUGUAACUUAGUUUUACACGUCUUACCCCAAGUAUACCUUCAAUAUGAAUUGAUCUGAAGAAGUGGAAGAAUAACGCCUGAAGAGCUUCUUCACCGACAGUUUCUAUUUAAUACUUUUAAAAAGUACUCCAGGAAAGCACAAAAAGUAUUUUUAAUAAAUGAAUUUAUAUUGGCGAAUAUUGGAUGGACUCCCACCAGUAAGGGAGUCAACGAAUCACUUUUUAGAUGUACAGAAAUACAAAACGAACAAAGAGCUAUUAAAUUCGUAUUCAUUCUUUUAUUAAGUCUAUCGUUAUCUCACUUCUAAGUAAGUACAAUUUCUUAAAAAUGGCAUAGUAUGAAAUGUGAUUGAGACUGGACUUAUCUGGGGUUCCUAGAUAAAUCUUACAUCUUAAGUAUCUUGACUCUUCAGCAUUUAGCAUACUGUCUUUGAUCUUCAAUCCCUUUAAAGGAAUGGGAGAUGAUGCCUGUGUUGGAGUAAAACCUCUUUUAACUUGAAGGCUGACCUUUCUUAAAGUUGGACCUUAGAUAUUAUCAGAAAUAGAAAGAGCGAGAACUCUGGAGCACCUCAAUUUUCCGUCUGUGAAAAGGGGUUGUCAACUGAACUUAAAUGAAUCCCGAGGCUUUGGCAAGAAAUAAAUGAUAAAGAUUUAUUCAAGGAUCUUCAGGCUUGCAAACCAGACACACAAUUGGGCAAUACCCAGAGUAUUCCCAAAGUGGAAAGAAAAGCUGAGGGUUUCAUUCUUGAGAAGAAUCAGUCCUGCAUUCUUAGCCUCUGGAAUGGUCUGAGAUGUUGCUCUGGGGAAGCCAGCUGCCAUGUUGUAAGGAUACUCAAGCAGCUUUAUGGAGAAGUCCUCAUAGCAUGGAACCAGGACCUCCUGCCAACAACCAGCACUAAAUUGCCAGGCUUGUGAGAGCUAUCUUGGAAGCAGAUCCUCCAGCUGCAGUCAAGUCUUCAGAUGACUGCAGACCCAGCUGAUCUCUUGAUUGCAAGGUCAUGAGAGACCCUGAGUCAGAACUAGCCAGGCUUGUCCCUCAAGGUUACAAAAUGGCUGCAGCAGCUCCAGGCAUUCUAUCCUUCAUUCAAUACACAAAAUUCAGACAAGAGAAAGAGGAACAUUUUGAAGUGUGAAGAAAACUUUCCCAGAAAUCCUGGAAUCCCCUCAUGUUUCAUUGGCCAGAAUGACACCACAUGAUCAUUCCUAAACCAGUUAUUGUCAAGGUGAGUGGAAUUGGUGAUUGGAUUAACUUUACCUGGAAAGCAACCUCAGAGGCACUGGAGAGUUUCAGCCUUUUUUGGAGAUCCUAGCUACUCCUGACCAAAAUAAAAAUUCCAAUGGCACAAUUGCUGUAAGAACUCUCAUAGGAAAUGUAUUUAAUUAAUAUCUGCAACAAGUUUCAAAGGCGGCUGCUGGAAGCACACAGUAGGCUUAAAUGUGAACUUGUCCUUGUGCAUAAAAGCUCCCACACCCAUGUUCAACACACCUUGUGAUGAAACCUUGUUCAGCUCUAUCCUGCUAGAACUAAUGCUCCAAAUGCAGGGAUCUUUGUUUUGUUUCUAUCAACAGUGCCUAGAACAGCACCUGGAAUAUAGUAGAGACCAAUAAAUAUUAUUAAUUUAGAAAAAUUCCGAUGGCAAGAAAAAAGAGGAGAAUUGGUAUGGAGCAGGCAUCCAGAAGCAUCUGCACUGUGCUUUUCUCAAGGCUUUUUAAUCUAUACUUCUGCUUUUUUGCCACGGGACACACAACACUUUUGCCCCAACACAAGUCUUGCUUUCUGGUUUCUAUACACUAGGCCCUUGAGCCUUACAAAUGUCACAGACCCAACAGUCACUGUUGGAGUGUCUGGCUGAAGGAUCCCCAGUUUGACAAAGUGGGGUGUUCGUGCUCUGGCAAUCCAAGAUAUUAUGUCAGGCUCAACAGCAUCUUUUGCCAAAGGAUGAAACUUCACAGCCAUCAGAUCUCCAUGCCCCUAGUACCACAGCAUUUAGUGGAAUCAGUUGUGUUCGAAGGGCAGGGUGGUGGGGGUGGCAGUUUUGGGGGUAGGCACCAAGGGCUUGUGUGAUUUGUAAAGGAUGUUAAAACAAUUAUAAACCUCUAAAGGCAAUGUGGUAUCUUGAAUUGAACCCUGGAGCAGAAAAAGGACAGUAGUGGAAAUACUGCUAAACUCCAAAUAAAGUCUGUAGUUUGGUUAAUA
Molecule: non-coding RNA, 2269 nt
Organism: Miniopterus natalensis
Lineage: Eukaryota; Metazoa; Chordata; Mammalia; Chiroptera; Miniopteridae
Source: RefSeq, a predicted model, not a curated record